Molecule: non-coding RNA, 374 nt
Organism: Felis catus (domestic cat)
Lineage: Eukaryota; Metazoa; Chordata; Mammalia; Carnivora; Felidae
Source: Rfam
AGUGUGCCCUUUCCCUCCUGCCUUUUUAGUAGCUCCGGGUAAAUAUUGAUUUGCCUCCAGUUUACCUCCUCCCUGAAUGGCCGUUUGCAGACUGAGGAACUAGCCUCUGGAGCGACUCGAUUUUUGUGUUACUUUCCGGCCCGUUCGCCCCCCUUUCUUCCUCCAAGUGGCAUUGUAAAACUCACAGUGACAAAGAAACAGGGUAGGGUUCGAGGCCCCAGUUCCUGAGGAGUUGAGGGCUGUUUUACAUACAGGUCAGACACGGCUAGAGGCCAAGGUCAAGUUGAAAGUUGCAGUCUAGCCAGCGUGAGAACUGCCAUGCAAGCCUGGAGACCCAGGCAGCUGCCGAUAAGCCCACUGCUCACCUCCCUUGU